CCUCCAGUGUCACCUGAGAGGUCUCCGAACCCGUUAUUUUCAUCAUACCCACCAUCAGUACCACCGGCACCACCAGCAACACCAAAAUUUGAACUCCCACUACCAUAACCUCCUAAGUUUCCACCCAUAGAGUCAGCAGCUCCAUCAUAGCCAGCGUUAUUGCCACUACCAGAACCACCGGUAACACCAAAAUUUGGACUCCCACUACCAUAACCUCCAAAGUUUCCACCCAUAGAGUCACCAGCUCCAUCAUAGCCAGCAUUACUGCCACUACCAGUAUUUGCUCCACCUCCAUAAACACCGCUAUUUCCUCCAUAAUUACUACCAUAACCUCCACCACCACCACCAUAGCCACCACCUCCAUAACCACC
This 371-nucleotide long non-coding RNA is filed under the name Citrus sinensis (sweet orange). Its description in RNAcentral is "long non-coding RNA (CSIN_LNC002001)". Lineage: Eukaryota; Viridiplantae; Streptophyta; Magnoliopsida; Sapindales; Rutaceae. The record is from RNAcentral.